GCAGAGGUGGAAGUGCAGUAAUGCAUGGAGCUGACUGUUACUAAUCGGGUGAGGGCUUGACCAA
RNAcentral lists this ribosomal RNA (64 nucleotides) under Blautia wexlerae. Its description in RNAcentral is "partial 23S ribosomal RNA". The record is from RNAcentral. Lineage: Bacteria; Bacillati; Bacillota; Clostridia; Lachnospirales; Lachnospiraceae. RNAcentral also lists the same sequence under 1 other name.